Molecule: long non-coding RNA, 781 nt
Filed under: Phaseolus vulgaris (common bean)
Lineage: Eukaryota; Viridiplantae; Streptophyta; Magnoliopsida; Fabales; Fabaceae
Description: long non-coding RNA (PVUL_LNC005354)
Source: RNAcentral
ACUUUCUCUCUCUCUCUCAUUCUCUUCUCUCCCUCUCUUAAUUUCUCUCCCAAUCUUCAUCUAUUUUAGAAUCUGAUCAUACCACGCUGUAGUAGAGGAGUUAAGGAACAUUUCUACCCGAUCAGAUUUUCAAACAGAGUAAGUUCAUUUUUACUCUAAAUAUCCUUUGUUAUCUGUUUUUCCUUAGGAUUUAGUCAUCAAUCUUUGUGGGGUCAGUUGAGAAGUUUAAUCCUCUCAACUUCUUCUAUUAUAUACUGAAAUUUUGUUCUGUUUGGAUAAUUUGCAUUAGGCCCGUAAACCUUGAAGCUUAUCCAAACGGUGGGGAAUAAAAUUCUAAAAGUUGCUUGGAAAGCAAGCAAUUGAGGUAAGGGAAGCUAAAUUUAAUUUUUAAUAGCACCCUAGGAUAGAAGAUCUGAAUGCGGAAGGGACGUGGUCCCAAUAUUGAAUUUCUCUUACAGGGGUGUUAUUUGUUUAUAUAUUGUGUGUUUGUUUAUAUAUUAUUUAAAUUUGUGGAAAUAUUGGGUUUUGAUGAUUUAGUAUUAAAGUGUAUUUUUUUUAUGUCAAAUAAAAUUUUGAAUAUUGUGGAUAACUUUUGAAAUAAUAUUGUAUGACGAAAUGGUAUGAAAUUGAAUUCAUACAUUUGGGAUAAUGUAUGGACUGAUGCUUGUUGUGUAUUAAGUAUUGAUGCCUAUGUGGUAACAGAGAUCUCCGAGCUUCACUGAUGAUCUAAGUCACAUAGACUAAGAUAUCAGGUGGUGAGAAGCUGAUGGGGGAGUUCAUG